AAUAUAUAUGUAUAUAUAUAUAUAUAUACAUAUAUAUAUAUACAUAUAUAUUCAUUAAGGAGUUUCUAUAAGUUUUAUACUUAGUAGUCAUGAUCUGUUUGAUGUGAUGUAGCAGAGAGACUUCUGGAUCUGGAAUAAGAAGACCUACUUUCAAUCUUGAAUCUGCCACAGUAUGACCGCCUGAAUAACCUUCUGUGAAGAGUGCAGUCUUCAAACAUGGGAGUUUCAAAAAUUGAAAGAGCAAGUCACACAGAUCUAGAAAUUGGAAUACAGACUGGGAUUUGCAGCUCAUGAAAUGCAAUGACCUAAGGAAUCAGGAAUAAUCUUUGGGAGUGAUCUUCGAGAUUAUAGCCCAGGAGAAGAUCUGUCUUGGAAGUCACAUAGCUGGCCUUUGGAAAUGGUUGUACCAUAAAUCAGAGACUAUUGUGGUCACAUCAUGUUAAGUGAAGAUUGAAGUAUUGUCAUCAUAUGAAAAAAAAUACCAUUUUGUUUCUCUCUACUAUAUACAUUUAGAAGGAGGCCAUACCUUGAUGUGCUAUAUAUAGAUAUUAGGAUGGAAAUUAAUUUGUUCAACCAAUUCACAUCAGAGAAUAAAGUAUCUGAGAUGUGCGAUCAACAAAACCAACUAAAGAUUUGAUUCCACUUCCUAACAUUAUAAAGUUUCUGUGAUUGAAAGUACAGUUCCUGUUGACCUGUGAAUCUCACUGCUAGGCACAUACUCAAGAAAAUUAAAAAAAAAAGAAAAGAGAAGAAAAGAAAAGUACCAUAUGCGCCAAAUUGGUCAGGUCAAUAAUUUUGGUUUUCAAGGAUUUGAAACAUAGUAGAUUUCCACUGAC
Molecule: long non-coding RNA, 836 nt
Filed under: Monodelphis domestica (gray short-tailed opossum)
Lineage: Eukaryota; Metazoa; Chordata; Mammalia; Didelphimorphia; Didelphidae
Description: lncRNA (ENSMODG00000050283.1)
Source: RNAcentral